UUUGAAGGUCAGAAAUAGCGUCCAUUUCCCCAUUUUAUUUUUCCUGGAUCAGAUCAUUAUGUGAACAAAUCUUAAGAAAGUUUUCUUUCAUACAUAGCUUACAAAACACCAAGAUUUUCUAAUACAGGAAGGAAAAAAAGCAAACAAAAUUCAAGUACCACUUUGCACAACAUUAACAGUUGAAGAAUUGCUAUUCAAGAAAGUGUGUCAAACAUUAACAACAAACUCAAGCUACUUUCAGCCACAAAAACAGAAAAUAUAACAGUUCAGUUUAAGGCAAAGGGAAUGUGUAGUCAUGGUCCAUAGCCAGACAUUUCAGCAGAUCAGCAGAAUUAAGAAUUUUAAAAAUUAAGGAACAUUAAGUUACUUGUACAUUGGUCAAUGAAUAUGCGAUUUAUUAGCACUUUUACCUUCCUUUUUUGUAGGAUGAUUUUAAACUUGAUCCAACACUGAACAUCAAUUGGGAGUAAUUACUAUCUUUGUCUUUUAAAUCCAGAAAGGUAUGUUAG
RNAcentral lists this long non-coding RNA (509 nucleotides) under Bos taurus (domestic cattle). RNAcentral describes it as "long non-coding RNA NONBTAT010589". The record is from RNAcentral. Lineage: Eukaryota; Metazoa; Chordata; Mammalia; Artiodactyla; Bovidae.